UUAGAGCCAAUUGCGAGACCGGAAGCUCCCUUCCUUCCCCAUCCUUAGGUCAAAUCUUGGGUAGUGACCGUGUCCCGGAAGAGGUGGAUCUUUUUUGCUCUGGGUUUGGAGCUUGUUGGAAAAGCAUGUGAUCCUUAUCAUCUCAUAUACUCUCUCGCUGUGAUGCCGGCCAUCAGGCUAUGAUGCAGUGAAGUAGUCCUUCAUCAGAGUUGGUGACAUGCUGAGUCACCAUGGGUGAGUAAAACCUCUUCAUUACAA
Molecule: long non-coding RNA, 258 nt
Filed under: Cavia porcellus (domestic guinea pig)
Lineage: Eukaryota; Metazoa; Chordata; Mammalia; Rodentia; Caviidae
Description: lncRNA (ENSCPOG00000031890.1)
Source: RNAcentral